AGAUUGAACGCUGGCGGCGUGCUUAACACAUGCAAGUCGAGCGGUAACGCGGGAGCAAUCCUGGCGACGAGCGGCGAACGGGUGAGUAAUGCUUGGGAAUCUGCCCAUUAGUGGGGAACAACCAGCCGAAAGGUUGGCUAAUACCGCAUACGCCCUACGGGGGAAAGCGGGGGAUCGAAAGACCUCGCGCUAAUGGAUGAGCCCAAGUCGGAUUAGCUUGUUGGUAGGGUAACGGCCUACCAAGGCGACAAUCCGUAGCUGGUCUGAGAGGACGACCAGCCACACUGGGACUGAGACACGGCCCAGACUCCUACGGGAGGCAGCAGUGGGGGAAUAUUGGACAAUGGGGGCAACCCUGAUCCAGCGACGCCGCGUGUGUGAAGAAGGCCUGCGGGUUGUAAAGCACUUUUAGUGGGGAUGAAAAGCUCAGGGUUAACACCUCUGGGUCUUGACCUAACCACAGAAAAAGCACCGGCUAACUCUGUGCCAGCAGCCGC
RNAcentral lists this ribosomal RNA (497 nucleotides) under uncultured bacterium. RNAcentral's name for it is "SSU rRNA". It matches the Rfam family "Bacterial small subunit ribosomal RNA", at positions 26 to 518 of the family's 1533-position model. The record is from RNAcentral.